RNAcentral lists this ribosomal RNA (494 nucleotides) under uncultured bacterium. RNAcentral describes it as "partial 16S ribosomal RNA". It matches the Rfam family "Bacterial small subunit ribosomal RNA", at positions 28 to 507 of the family's 1533-position model. The record is from RNAcentral.
GACGAACGCUGGCGGCGCGCUUAACACAUGCAAGUCGAACGGAAAGGCCUGCUUUCCCUUGUGGAUUGCGGGUACUCGAGUGGCGAACGGGUGAGUAACACGUGAGUGAUCUGCCCCCAACUUGGGUAUAAGCCUGGGAAACUGGGUCUAAUUCCCGAUAGGACUGCAGGGUGGUGCCUGUGGUGGAAAACGAUUUUCUAGUGGUUGGGGAUGAGCUCGCGGCCUAUCAGCUUGUUGGUGGGGUAAUGGCCUACCAAGGCGGCGACGGGUAGCCGGCCUGAGAGGGUGGACGGCCACAUUGGGACUGGGAUACGGCCCAGACUCCUACGGGAGGCAGCAGUGGGGAAUAUUGCACAAUGGGCGGAAGCCUGAUGCAGCGACGCCGCGGGGGGGAUGACGGCCUUCGGGUUGUAAACUCCUUUCGACCGCGAGGAAGCCACCUGGUUGGAAGGGUGGUGACGGUAGUGGUAGAAGAAGCACCGGCUAACUACGUG